GAUGAAGAACGCAGCGAAAUGCGAUAAGUAAUGUGAAUUGCAGAAUUCAGUGAAUCAUCGAAUCUUUGAACGCACCUUGCACCCUUUGGCUAUUCCGAAGGGUAUGCCUGUUUGAGUAUCAUGAACACCUCAACUCUCAUGGUUUGCCAUGAUGAGCUUGGACUUUGGGGGUCUUGCUGGCCUGUGGUCAGCUCCUCUCAAAUGGAUUAGCUUGCCAGUGUUUGGUGGUAUCACAGGUGUGAUAACUAUCUACGCUUGUGGUUUUCCACCAGGUAACCUUCAGCAAUGGGGGUUCGCUGGGGCUCAUAAAUGUCUCUCCUCAGUGAGGACAGCUCUUUGAUCGUUUGAUCUCAAAUCAGGUAGGACUACCCGCUGAACUUAAGCAUAUCAAUAAGCGGAGGA
RNAcentral lists this unclassified non-coding RNA (402 nucleotides) under soil metagenome. RNAcentral's name for it is "partial contains 5.8S ribosomal RNA, internal transcribed spacer 2, and large subunit ribosomal RNA". The stretch from base 1 to 121 matches the Rfam family "5.8S ribosomal RNA", at positions 35 to 154 of the family's 154-position model. The record is from RNAcentral.